This 459-nucleotide ribosomal RNA is filed under the name uncultured bacterium. Its description in RNAcentral is "bacterial SSU rRNA". It matches the Rfam family "Bacterial small subunit ribosomal RNA", at positions 29 to 506 of the family's 1533-position model. The record is from RNAcentral.
AACGAACGCUGGCGGCAUGCCUAACACAUGCAAGUCGAACGAGAUCCUUCGGGGUCUAGUGGCGCACGGGUGCGUAACGCGUGGGAAUCUGCCCUUGGGUUCGGAAUAACAGUGGGAAACUACUGCUAAUACCGGAUGAUGACUUCGGUCCAAAGAUUUAUCGCCCAGGGAUGAGCCCGCGUAGGAUUAGGUAGUUGGUGGGGUAAUGGCCUACCAAGCCGACGAUCCUUAGCNGGUCUGAGAGGAUGAUCAGCCACACUGGGACUGAGACACGGCCCAGACUCCUACGGGAGGCAGCAGUGGGGAAUAUUGGACAAUGGGCGCAAGCCUGAUCCAGCAAUGCCGCGUGAGUGAUGAAGGCCUUAGGGUUGUAAAGCUCUUUUGUCAGGGAAGAAACGGCGGAGGUUAAUACCUUCUGCUAAUGACGGUACCUGAAGAAUAAGCACCGGCUAACUACGU